GAUGAACGCUGGCGGCGUGCCUAAUACAUGCAAGUCGAGCGAACAGAUGCGGAGCUUGCUCCUCUGACGUUAGCGGCGGACGGGUGAGUAACACGUGGAUAACCUACCUAUAAGACUGGGAUAACUUCGGGAAACCGGAGCUAAUACCGGAUAAUAUAUUGAACCGCAUGGUUCAAUAGUGAAAGACGGUUUUGCUGUCACUUAUAGAUGGAUCCGCGCCGCAUUAGCUAGUUGGUAAGGUAACGGCUUACCAAGGCAACGAUGCGUAGCCGACCUGAGAGGGUGAUCGGCCACACUGGAACUGAGACACGGUCCAGACUCCUACGGGAGGCAGCAGUAGGGAAUCUUCCGCAAUGGGCGAAAGCCUGACGGAGCAACGCCGCGUGAGUGAUGAAGGUCUUCGGAUCGUAAAACUCUGUUAUUAGGGAAGAACAAAUGUGUAAGUAACUAUGCACGUCUUGACGGUACCUAGUCAGAAAGCCACGGCUAACUACGUG
RNAcentral lists this ribosomal RNA (497 nucleotides) under uncultured bacterium. Its description in RNAcentral is "partial 16S ribosomal RNA". It matches the Rfam family "Bacterial small subunit ribosomal RNA", at positions 28 to 507 of the family's 1533-position model. The record is from RNAcentral.